RNAcentral lists this unclassified non-coding RNA (243 nucleotides) under plant metagenome. RNAcentral's name for it is "partial contains small subunit ribosomal RNA, internal transcribed spacer 1, and 5.8S ribosomal RNA". The record is from RNAcentral.
UCUCCGUUGGUGAACCAGCGGAGGGAUCAUUACCGAGUUACAACUCCCAAACCCAAUGUGAACCAUACCAAACUGUUGCCUCGGCGGGGUCACGCCCCGGGUGCGUCGCAGCCCCGGAACCAGGCGCCCGCCGGAGGGACCAACCAAACUCUUUCUGUAGUCCCCUCGCGGACGUUAUUUUUACAGCUCUGAGCAAAAAUUCAAAAUGAAUCAAAACUUUCAACAACGGAUCUCUUGGUUCUG